GGAUUCCCCUAGUAACUGCGAGUGAAGCGGGAAAAGCUCAAAUUUGAAAUCUGGCAGUUUUUGACUGUCCGAGUUGUAAUCUAGAGAAGUGUUACCUGUGCUGGACCGUGUACAAGUCUCCUGGAAUGGAGCAUCAUAGAGGGUGAGAAUCCCGUCUUUGACACGGACUACCUGUACAUUGUGGUAUGCUCUCAAAGAGUCGAGUUGUUUGGGAAUGCAGCUCAAAAUGGGUGGUAAAUGCCAUCUAAAGCUAAAUAUUGGCGAGAGACCGAUAGCGAACAAGUACCGUGAGGGAAAGAUGAAAAGAACUUUGGAAAGAGAGUUAAACAGUACGUGAAAUUGCUGAAAGGGAAACGCUUGAAGUCAGUCACGUUGGCUGGAAAUCAGCCUUGCUUCUGCUUGGUGUACUUUCUGGUUGAUGGGUCAGCAUCAAUUUUGACCACUGGAUAAAGUCUCUGGGAAUGUGGCAUCUUUUUUAGAUGUGUUAAAGCCCAUUGUCGCAUACAGUGGUUGGGAUUGAGGAACUCAGCACGCCCUGCAAGGGGCCAGGUUUCGAUCAUGUUCGUGCUUAGGAUGCUGGCAUAAUGGCUUCAAUCGACCCGUCUUGAAACACGGACCAAGGAGUCUAACAUGCCUGCGAGUGUUUGGGUGGAAAACCCAUGCGCGCAAUGAAAGUGAAAGUUGAGAUCUCUGUAAAGGGAGAGCAUUGACGCCUGGACCAGACCUUUUGUGACGGAUCCACGGUAGAGCAUGUAUGUUGGGACCCGAAAGAUGGUGAACUAUGCCUGAAUAGGGUGAAGCCAGAGGAAACUCUGGUGGAGGCUCGUAGCGAUUCUGACGUGCAAAUCGAUCGUCAAAUUUGGGUAUAGGGGGCGAAAGACUAAUCGAACCAUCUAGUAGCUGGUCCUGC
RNAcentral lists this ribosomal RNA (910 nucleotides) under Inocybe tetragonospora. RNAcentral describes it as "LSU rRNA". It matches the Rfam family "Eukaryotic large subunit ribosomal RNA", at positions 72 to 960 of the family's 3401-position model. The record is from RNAcentral. Lineage: Eukaryota; Fungi; Basidiomycota; Agaricomycetes; Agaricales; Inocybaceae.